CGUCUAGGAAGAUUAUCUAAUUGUCCAUCAUGGCUUGGGUACUUCUGCUCCUCACCAUCCUGUCUUCCUUAGGAGCAAGCAUCCAGCAGCUGCAGAGCUUGAAAGAUCCAGAUUUUGUAGCUCAAGGAGGGACCAUCACCAUGUCCUGUAGAUACAGUGGAGGAACCAUCGCUGACAACAAUUACCCACGAUGGAUCCAGCACAAGGCAGAGGAGACCCCAAGGCUCUUAAUACACAGCACCAGCAGCAGGCCUUCAGGUGUCCCAGCCCGCUUCUCUGGCUCCAGGUCAGGGAACAUCAUGUCUCUGACCAUCACAGGUGCCUUGGUGGAAGACGAGGCUACAUAUUACUGUGUAGUUUGGAUCGGGAACGGGUGCACAGUGCUUGAUUUGAAUAGAGAAGUGAGACCAAAACCCCUUGAAAGGAAGUGA
Non-coding RNA from Notechis scutatus (mainland tiger snake), 431 nucleotides. NCBI's taxonomy places the organism in Eukaryota, Metazoa, Chordata, Lepidosauria, Squamata, Elapidae. The record is from the annotation of a RefSeq genome assembly.